UCCGGGGAUAACAGGCUGAUACCGCCCAAGAGUUCAUAUCGACGGCGGUGUUUGGCACCUCGAUGUCGGCUCAUCACAUCCUGGGGCUGAAGUAGGUCCCAAGGGUAUGGCUGUUCGCCAUUUAAAGUGGUACGCGAGCUGGGUUUAGAACGUCGUGAGACAGUUCGGUCCCUAUCUGCCGUGGGCGCUGGAGAACUGAGGGGGGCUGCUCCUAGUACGAGAGGACCGGAGUGGACGCAUCACUGGUGUUCGGGUUGUCAUGCCAAUGGCACUGCCCGGUAGCUAAAUGCGGAAGAGAUAAGUGCUGAAAGCAUCUAAGCACGAAACUUGCCCCGAGAUGAGUUCUCCCUGAGACUUUAGGUCUCCUGAAGGAACGUUGAAGACGACGACGUUGAUAGGCCGGGUGUGUAAGCGCAGCGAUGCGUUGAGCUAACCGGUACUAAUGAACCGUGAGGCUUAACCUUACAACGCCGAAG
RNAcentral lists this ribosomal RNA (476 nucleotides) under Salmonella enterica subsp. enterica serovar Typhi. Its description in RNAcentral is "partial 23S ribosomal RNA". It matches the Rfam family "Bacterial large subunit ribosomal RNA", at positions 2467 to 2925 of the family's 2925-position model. Lineage: Bacteria; Pseudomonadati; Pseudomonadota; Gammaproteobacteria; Enterobacterales; Enterobacteriaceae. The record is from RNAcentral.